Molecule: ribosomal RNA, 1343 nt
Filed under: uncultured bacterium
Lineage: Bacteria
Description: 16S ribosomal RNA
Rfam family: Bacterial small subunit ribosomal RNA
Source: RNAcentral
GACGAACGCUGGCGGCGUGCUUAACACAUGCAAGUCGAACGGAAAGGCCCUGCUUUUGUGGGGUGCUCGAGUGGCGAACGGGUGAGUAACACGUGAGUAACCUGCCCUUGACUUUGGGAUAACUUCAGGAAACUGGGGCUAAUACCGGAUAGGAGCUCCUGCUGCAUGGUGGGGGUUGGAAAGUUUCGGCGGUUGGGGAUGGACUCGCGGCUUAUCAGCUUGUUGGUGGGGUAGUGGCUUACCAAGGCUUUGACGGGUAGCCGGCCUGAGAGGGUGACCGGCCACAUUGGGACUGAGAUACGGCCCAGACUCCUACGGGAGGCAGCAGUGGGGAAUAUUGCACAAUGGGCGGAAGCCUGAUGCAGCAACGCCGCGUGCGGGAUGACGGCCUUCGGGUUGUAAACCGCUUUCGCCUGUGACGAAGCGUGAGUGACGGUAAUGGGUAAAGAAGCACCGGCUAACUACGUGCCAGCAGCCGCGGUGAUACGUAGGGUGCGAGCGUUGUCCGGAUUUAUUGGGCGUAAAGGGCUCGUAGGUGGUUGAUCGCGUCGGAAGUGUAAUCUUGGGGCUUAACCCUGAGCGUGCUUUCGAUACGGGUUGACUUGAGGAAGGUAGGGGAGAAUGGAAUUCCUGGUGGAGCGGUGGAAUGCGCAGAUAUCAGGAGGAACACCAGUGGCGAAGGCGGUUCUCUGGGCCUUUCCUGACGCUGAGGAGCGAAAGCGUGGGGAGCGAACAGGCUUAGAUACCCUGGUAGUCCACGCUGUAAACGGUGGGUACUAGGUGUGGGGUCCAUUCCACGGGUUCCGUGCCGUAGCUAACGCUUUAGGUACCCCGCCUGGGGAGUACGGCCGCAAGGCUAAAACUCAAAGGAAUUGACGGGGCCCCGCACAAGCGGCGGAGCAUGCGGAUUAAUUCGAUGCAACGCGUAGAACCUUACCUGGGUUUGACAUGGAUCGGGAGUGCUCAGAGAUGGGUGUGCCUCUUUUGGGGUCGGUUCACAGGUGGUGCAUGCCUGUCGUCAGCUCGUGUCGUGAGAUGUUGGGUUAAGUCCCGCAACGAGCGCAACCCUUGUUCACUGUUGCCAGCACGUUAUGGUGGGGACUCAGUGGAGACCGCCGGGGUCAACUCGGAGGAAGGUGGGGAUGACGUCAAGUCCUCAUGCCCCUUAUGUCCAGGGCUUCACGCAUGCUACAAUGGCUGGUACAGAGAGUGGCGAGCCUGUGAGGGUGAGCGAAUCUCGGAAAGCCGGUCUCAGUUCGGAUUGGGGUCUGCAACUCGACCUCAUGAAGUCGGAGUCGCUAGUAAUCGCAGAUCAGCAACGCUGCGGUGAAUACGUUCCCGGG